This 429-nucleotide ribosomal RNA is filed under the name Bacteroidota bacterium. RNAcentral's name for it is "Bacteroidetes bacterium partial 16S ribosomal RNA". It matches the Rfam family "Bacterial small subunit ribosomal RNA", at positions 355 to 776 of the family's 1533-position model. The record is from RNAcentral. Lineage: Bacteria; Pseudomonadati; Bacteroidota.
UAGGGAAUCUUCCGCAAUGGACGCAAGUCUGACGGAGCAACGCCGCGUGAGUGAAGAAGGAUUUCGGUUCGUAAAACUCUGUUGUUAGAGAAGAACAGCGCAUAGAGUAACUGUUAUGCGUGUGACGGUAUCUAACCAGAAAGCCACGGCUAACUACGUGCCAGCAGCCGCGGUAAUACGUAGGUGGCAAGCGUUGUCCGGAUUUAUUGGGCGUAAAGCGAGCGCAGGCGGUCAAUUAAGUCUGAUGUGAAAGCCCCCGGCUCAACCGGGGAGGGUCAUUGGAAUCUGGUUGACUUGAGUGCAGAAGAGGAGAGUGGAAUUCCAUGUGUAGCGGUGAAAUGCGUAGAUAUAUGGAGGAACACCAGUGGCGAAGGCGACUCUCUGGUCUGUAACUGACGCUGAGGCUCGAAAGCGUGGGGAGCGAACAGG